CGUGAGGAACCUGCCUUGGAGAGGGGAAUAACACUCCGAAAGGAGUGCUAAUACCGCAUGAUGCAGUUGGGUCGCAUGGCUCUGACUGCCAAAGAUUUAUCGCUCUGAGAUGGCCUCGCGUCUGAUUAGCUAGUAGGCGGGGUAACGGCCCACCUAGGCGACGAUCAGUAGCCGGACUGAGAGGUUGAACGGCCACAUUGGGACUGAGACACGGCCCAG
RNAcentral lists this ribosomal RNA (219 nucleotides) under uncultured bacterium. RNAcentral's name for it is "partial 16S ribosomal RNA". It matches the Rfam family "Bacterial small subunit ribosomal RNA", at positions 116 to 334 of the family's 1533-position model. The record is from RNAcentral.